RNAcentral lists this ribosomal RNA (322 nucleotides) under uncultured eukaryote. RNAcentral describes it as "partial 18S ribosomal RNA". It matches the Rfam family "Eukaryotic small subunit ribosomal RNA", at positions 1470 to 1796 of the family's 1831-position model. The record is from RNAcentral.
CCCUUAGAUGUUCUGGGCCGCACGCGCGCUACACUGAUGCAUUCAACGAGCCUAUCCUUGACCGACAGGUCCGGGUAAUCUUUGAAUCUGCAUCGUGAUAGGGAUAGACUAUUGCAAUUAUUGGUCUUCAACGAGGAAUUCCUAGUAGACGUAGUUCAUCAGACUGCAUCGAUUACGUCCCUGCCCUUUGCACACACCGCCCGUCGCUCCUACCGAUUGAAUGCUCAGGUGAGCCAUUCGGACUUUCAUCAUGCUGGUUUCCAGUUUUGAUGAAGGAAAGUCUUGCGAACCUUAUCAUUUAGAGGAAGGAGAAGUCGUAACA